This is a non-coding RNA of Caenorhabditis elegans, 150 nucleotides long. NCBI's taxonomy places the organism in Eukaryota, Metazoa, Nematoda, Chromadorea, Rhabditida, Rhabditidae. The record is from Ensembl.
GAGAAGUGGGCCCUCCAUGAUAAGAACCACACGCUUGCCCAGUGGUAUGUAGAAGGAGAAACCCCACAGGGUGCCGCCAAACCCGACCUUCACCCCAAAAAAGUCAUGCUCUCAGUGUGGUGGGGAGUGUACGGCCCCAUCAACUGGGAA